GAGAGAGGGAGAGAGAGGAGAAAGAGAGAGAACUUGACCAAUAUCUGAUUCGAUUAGAUCUAAAUUGAUCUCUCAAUGACCAACUUAGACUGCCUAGAUUGAGGCCCUUGAUUUGGAUCUAAAUCUAGUAGAUCCAAUCCAAAAAUCUAACUGACCUAGAUCAAGUAUCUCUCCUUCUUGUGUUGGUCAAGUUAGAUCAAAUAGAUCGAAUUUUGAUUGCUCUUUUCUUUGUAUCUCUACUGAUUGAUCAGAUCGAGCCUAAUUAGUCUAAUUUUUAAUUGAUCAAUGAGAUAGAUCUAAUCCAAAAUUUUGAUCUACAUUGAAAGGAGUAUGGAUCUGAGAAUCAUGCCAUGUGGCAAAGAUCGUGACUUUUGGAUUCGACUAAUGGGCGCUGGAGUCGACAGUAAGGCGGGCUUUUCGGGGGCACGACCUACACAAAAGUCCUAAUCGGAGAUGGCUCCGACGAGGAUCCUUCGACGCUCAAGUCAUAACUCUCAUUCAACAAAAGGAGGAGCAUGAGAGGCAGAAUAAUGGAGUACCUUUUUGAGGGUCAUCUUUGAAUCUCUUUUAAGGAGGGAGAGUCGGAGCAUUAGUUGGCAAGUUGGUUGGCGCAAUCCCAUGAUUCGCGGGGUGUGAGGUUAGCGCUCGAAAUUUUUGGGAUAUUGUAGUUGUGGUUGCCAUAUCCAUUCCACGAUAGCUGUUGCUUGGCAGACACUAUAUUUUAAAGUUAGUUGCCAACUGAGGGUUGUCGAGAUGAGGGUUGGUUGGUGACGACUAACAGUCGACCGUCCUAUGCCAUCAUCAAGGUUUGUUCAGUGACGUAUGAUUGAUCGAUCGACGAGGGGUCAUUGGCAGUAAUGUACAGAGAUCGUCAAGUAGCCAUCAAUGGGCUUUUAUUUGCUCAAGAGGCAAAGCUCUGGUCAGGCAAUUGCAGAAGACUAGUUUGGCGAAGAUAGCGACCGAUCUUGAGUCGGCGAAAAUAGUGGCCGACCUUAAGUCGGUGAAGGUUCCUGUUAACGGGCCUGCUAAGUGCGGACAUUUUGGAUCCUGGGUCUUUUUAUAUAAUCGGCCCAUGCAGAAUUUUUUCUAACACAUGCCCUCUACUUUUGAGUUCGAUUUUAGUUGGACGAAGGGAGUACACCUGUCUUUCUUAGGCUAAAGAUGUGAAAAGACCCUUCAAUUGAUGGGACGUGCAUGACUUGAGUCAUCAUGAUGAAAUUAAAUGGACAUCAUUUUACCAUCUAUUUUUUAAAUUAUAGCAUCAAUUUACGUAACUGAUGGCUGCGACCGACCGAAUGAAGAGAUGCCACAUAUGCCACUUCUUGUGACUUGUUAGGAAGAAAAUGAUUCGAUAUCUAGAUGUUAUCUUCUCUUGGCUAUAAAUAGAAGAGGUGUCUGUCCUUGGCUUUUUCGAUUGCUGCCAGACUCUUCAAUUCUCCUUUUCUCUUACUCAUUAUUAUAGCUUCAUGGGACAAGGGGCCUUCCAUCUUCCUCCACGGUGUGACUCUUCAAAGGAGUUUUUGAAGAUUUCGAUGACUACUUCACUUCUAUUGUCUCCUUCCUUCGUUCUCAGGUCGGUUUUCCUUCUCACCCAUUUAUUUUUCUAUUCUUUCCUUCUUUCUUUAAAUAUCCUUUUGGUUCUUUUAUUAGGGAAUGGCAGAGCAAAGCGAGCUAGGUCCCAGCAAUUAUAGUUUUGUGUUGAAUCCAAACGAUUUGAGUCGGAUAUGGAUUUGAUAUGGGAUUCUUUCAGACUUUAAUAUUGGGCUUCCUAGGAUAGACGAAUGUAUAGAUAAUCUGCCCUCCAGUCGGCUCGCCGUAUAUGAGAAAGCACUCCAGGCAGGCUUAAGAUUUUCUGUUCAGUCUUUCAUCUUUGAUAUCUUUUGUUUCUAUGAUUUUUUCUUUUGUGCCAUUCUUCUGAACUCCUUUAGGUUUGUGGCAGAUUUUUUGAUCCUUUGUAUUAUGGCUAAUAUUCAGCCAUUUGUUGAUCUCUUCCGCUCUUUUUUUAUCAUCAAAAGGCAUCCUUACUCCAAAAAUUGAUCGUACUUUUCUUUCCAAAGGAAGAUUUCUCCUCUGAUCAAGGGCGCUCCAUCUUUCGUUCACAAGUGGAAGGAGCGAUUCUUGCUAGUGUCCAGCCCUACAGUGGAGGACUGGGACUUAUCGAGCUAGGAUCAGCCAAAGACUUUAGCAUUCAAGAUUUCAAGACUGGGGGUCAAGGAAGAGAGUCACUUUAAGGUCCUCAGAGAGUUCAAGGCUCCCUCGGCUAACGAAUUGAUAUCUGAUGAGGUCCCUUUUAAUGCUGGACUCAGUCAGAUUGACUUCAGGGAUGAGUAUUGUAGUUGUCCACCUUACUCAUCUUUUUUUUAAAAGCUGCUGAUCAAGUUCAGCUGUUUGCAAAGAUGAGAUUGGAAGAUAUCGCCAAAAUAAAGUAGAACCUCCCGAAGAAGAGGAAGGCUCCUAUACCUAAAGGUGCCUCUAAGUGGCUGGUGACCCGUCGAGGAAAGACCACGAACGAGCACAGCUCAAGGACUGGGGCCACGGUUGUUUUGGUGACUCCCACUCCUCUAAGUCCGACUCUAAUGGCUCCAGCUCCAAUAUCUGCACUCGCUCUAGCGCCAACAUCUCCACCGCCUGAGGUUCCCUUGCUUGCUGCUCCGAUGCCUCCUCAUGGGAUUCAGUCCUCUUCCACUCAGCUUCCCAUUGCUACAAGCCAAUGCAGCAUGCCUCCUCCUUUUAGUGAAACAGAUCCUCAUGUCCGUCUUAUCUCCAUUCCUGAGGCUGCAACUUUUGAUGAUUGAAGAGUUAUCAAAGAAUUAACCAAGAGAUCGAUGCUUCCCAUGGAGCUGAAGGGUGUCAUUGACAUGAGCUUCGACGACCUAUAGCGGUACUCCAUGACUACCGUGUAUCAGGUACUUUAUUUUUUAGUUAACACCUUGAAUCGUAUACGCAAGGUAGAAAUCCACAGACCUUUGCAUCGAAAGGCCGAAUCUAAUGUCGUAAAGGUAUGCAUGCAUGUCGAUGCGAUCAAGGCAGAGGCCGAUAAGUUGAGAAAAUUUCUUAACAAAGUUUUCGUCGAGCUUGCACAAAAAGGAGAGGAACUUCAGGUGGCCAAAACAAAGCUCAUCGAGGUCGAGCAGAAGGCUAGGGAGUAGGCCAAGGCCAAAGAGCAGGUCAAGGAUCAGGUCGCCAAGGCCAAGCGGGAGGCUGAAGAGAGGGUUGCUGAGGCCUAUCGAUCGGCUAUGGAAUCUUUUAAGGCCUCAGAGGAUUUCAAGCAUGAGAUGGCCCAGACGAUUGAUGGCUAUAAGGCGUUGGAGGAAUACCACGAUGCCUUGAUCGAAUACGAUCAAGGGUCCUUCAAUGCAGGACACGAGAUCAGGUUUGAAGAUUGCUACCGUCUGGUUGCUGCUUGACUUUCUGAGAUCAAUCUCUUCUUUUUGGAUGAGGAUGAAGGUGAUGUGGAGGCCACAGAGGAGGCAGCUCCUCCCAGAUCUACGAUUGCUGAGCAGCAGGUGAGGAGUGGGGAGGCAGUGAUUGAAGCUCCUUCACUGUCUGCUAUCGAUCCGUUAGGAGUAUCUUCGAGUCCCCCAGAAGUCAUGUCCGAUCCUUCCGAUCUUCAAGAUGAGGUUGGAAAAUAAAUAUUCCUUCUAGCUUUUUCUCUUUCUUAUUUACAUAUAGAAAAGUUGUCAUCGAUGAAACAAUAUUUCAUCCUUGUUAUAUAUUUCUUUGCUUGUCCAGUUACAUUCGUACGCUCUUAUCGAAUAUACCCCUUCAGUUCCUAUUAUCAAGCUUUUAUUGGUGGCAUCUACAGUAAGGAUCAGGUCCCGUAUAGGUGAUCUUGAAAAAAAUAUUAAAAAAUUAAAUAAGAAGGCUAUUAUCGGAAAGAAGAAACUAUCGAAGACUAGGAAAGCUCUAGACGAGGCCUCCAUAAAAGUCGAUCGAUUGAGGAUGAUCAACCAUUGGAGUGUCGUGACGUAUUCUGUUGAGAAAGCUCGACUGGCAGCUGAGUCUGCAAGGCUAUCCAAGCUCAUAGAGGAUGCCACUUGGGGCGCUACUGUCAGGCAGUAGGACCUCCAUCUUUGACUUCGUUGGUCUCAGGAUAGGAUCUCGAAACUGGAGUCGUCGGAGGCUCCUGCUAAAGAGGUGAGAAAAUGUUCUGUCGAUCAUAUGGUGCAGCUUCAGAAGGAUCUCCAUGUCACCUAAGAGAAGAUCUCUAAACUUGAGUACUCAGGCAAUGUGGUCGUCAAAUAUAGGUUGAGGAAAAAUCGACAGACAGUCACAAAAAUCGAGGUGUGUUGGGAGAAAUUCUGCAUGGGCUGAUUAUAUAAAAAGAUCUAGAAUCUCAAAUAUUUGCACUUAGCAAGUCCAUCAACAGGAACCUUCGCUUACUCAAGGUCAGCCACUAUCUU
Molecule: non-coding RNA, 4403 nt
Organism: Elaeis guineensis (African oil palm)
Lineage: Eukaryota; Viridiplantae; Streptophyta; Magnoliopsida; Arecales; Arecaceae
Source: RefSeq, a predicted model, not a curated record